RNAcentral lists this ribosomal RNA (116 nucleotides) under Klebsiella ornithinolytica. The record is from RNAcentral. Lineage: Bacteria; Pseudomonadati; Pseudomonadota; Gammaproteobacteria; Enterobacterales; Enterobacteriaceae.
CUUGGAGGCGGAAGGUGUGUGGCCCGACCGUAACCAAUGCCUAAUGCAGAAGUGAAACGCCGUAGCGCCGAUGGUAGUGUGGGGUCUCCCCAUGUGAGAGUAGGGAACUGCCAGGC